RNAcentral lists this ribosomal RNA (460 nucleotides) under uncultured bacterium. Its description in RNAcentral is "partial 16S ribosomal RNA". It matches the Rfam family "Bacterial small subunit ribosomal RNA", at positions 338 to 795 of the family's 1533-position model. The record is from RNAcentral.
CCUACGGGGGGCUGCAGUGAGGAAUAUUGGUCAAUGGACGAGAGUCUGAACCAGCCAAGUAGCGUGAAGGAUGACUGCCCUAUGGGUUGUAAACUUCUUUUAUAUGGGAAUAAAAUGUUCCACGUGUGGGAUUUUGUAUGUACCAUAUGAAUAAGGAUCGGCUAACUCCGUGCCAGCAGCCGCGGUAAUACGGAGGAUCCGAGCGUUAUCCGGCUUUAUUGGGUUUAAAGGGAGCGUAGGUGGAUUGUUAAGUCAGUUGUGAAAGUUUGCGGCUCAACCGUAAAAUUGCAGUUGAAACUGGCAGUCUUGAGUACAGUAGAGGUGGGCGGAAUUCGUGGUGUAGCGGUGAAAUGCUUAGAUAUCACGAAGAACUCCGAUUGCGAAGGCAGUUCACUGGACUGCAACUGACACUGAGGCUCGAAAGUGUGGGUAUCAAACAGGAUUAGAUACCCGAGUAGUC